ACGCCAGGAGUGCACCCUACAGAGCACUGACCCUCAACAUGGACUGGAGCUGGAGAGUCCUCUUCCUCCUGGCAGUGGCUGCAGGUGUCCACUCCCAGGUCCAGCUGGUGCAGUCUGGGGCUGAGCUGAAGAAGCCUGGGACAUCUGUGAAGGUCUCCUGCAAGGCGUCCGGAUACACCUUCACAAGCUACUAUAUGAACUGGGUGCGGCAGGUCCGUGGACAAGGGCUCGAGUGGAUGGGAUUGAUCAACCCCAGCAGUGGUGGCACAAACUAUGCACAGAAGUUCCAGGGCCGAGUCACCCUGACCAGGGACACGUCCACAAGCACAGCGUUCAUGGAGCUGAGCAGUCUGAGACCCGAGGACACGGCCAUGUAUUACUGUGCGAGAGACACAGCGUGAGAACCCACAUCCUGAGGGUGUCAGAAACCCUGAGGGACAGGGGGUGUGCUGGGCUGAGGAGGGGA
Molecule: non-coding RNA, 466 nt
Organism: Manis pentadactyla (Chinese pangolin)
Lineage: Eukaryota; Metazoa; Chordata; Mammalia; Pholidota; Manidae
Source: the annotation of a RefSeq genome assembly